GAUGAACGCUGGCGGCGUGCCUAACACAUGCAAGUCGAGCGAAGCACUUUACUUGAUUUCUUCGGAUUGAAGGUAUAGUGACUGAGCGGCGGACGGGUGAGUAACGCGUGGGUAACCUGCCUCAUACAGGGGGAUAACAGUUAGAAAUGACUGCUAAUACCGCAUAAGACCACAGCACCGCAUGGUGCGGGGGUAAAAACUCCGGUGGUACAAGAUGGACCCGCGUCUGAUUAGCUAGUUGGAGGGGUAACGGCCCACCAAGGCAACGAUCAGUAGCCGACUUGAGAGAGUGAUCGGCCACAUUGGGACUGAGACACGGCCCAAACUCCUACGGGAGGCAGCAGUAGGGAAUAUUGCACAAUGGGGGAAACCCUGAUGCAGCGACGCCGCGUGAAGGAUGAAGUAUUUCGGUAUGUAAACUUCUAUCAGCAAGGAAGAAAAUGACGGUACUUGACUAAGAAGCCCCGGCUAAAUACGUGCCAGCAGCCGCGGUAAUACGUAUGGGGCAAGCGUUAUCCGGAUUUACUGGGUGUAAAGGGAGCGUAGGCGGUACGGCAAGUCAGAAGUGAAAGCCUGGGGCUCAACCCCGGAAUUGCUUUUGAAACUGUCGAACUAGAGUGUCGGAGGGGUAAGCGGAAUUCCUAGUGUAGCGGUGAAAUGCGUAGAUAUUAGGAGGAACACCGGUGGCGAAGGCGGCUUACUGGACGACCACUGACGCUGAGGCUCGAAAGCGUGGGGAGCAAACAGGAUUAGAUACCCUGGUAGUCCACGCCGUAAACGAAGAAUAAUAGGUGUGGGGGACAAUAGUUUUUUGGUGCCGCCGCAAACGCAUUAAGUAUUCCCCCCGGGGGGACGUUUCGCCAGAAAGAAAAUCAAAAGAAUUGACGGGGACCCCGCACAAGCGGGUGGAGCAUGUUGUUUAAUUUCGAUGCAACCGCGAAAGAACUUUACCCUGCUCUUGACCAUCCCCACUGACCGGGACAGUAAAGUGUCCUUUUUUUUCGAAACAGUGGAGACAGGUGGUGCAUGGUUGUCGUCAGCUCGUGUCGUGAGAUGUUGGGUUAAGUCCCGCAACGAGCGCAACCCUUGUCUUUAGUAGCCAGCAGUCCGGCUGGGCACUCUAGAGAGACUGCCAGGGAUAACCUGGAGGAAGGCGGGGAUGACGUCAAAUCAUCAUGCCCCUUACGAGCAGGGCUACACACGUGCUACAAUGGCGUAAACAAAGGGAAGCGACCCUGUGAAGGUGAGCAAAUCUCAAAAAUAACGUCUCAGUUCGGAUUGUAGUCUGCAACUCGACUACAUGAAGCUGGAAUCGCUAGUAAUCGCGAAUCAGAAUGUCGCGGUGAAUAAGGGCCCGGGUCUUGCAC
Molecule: ribosomal RNA, 1367 nt
Filed under: uncultured bacterium
Lineage: Bacteria
Description: 16S ribosomal RNA
Rfam family: Bacterial small subunit ribosomal RNA
Source: RNAcentral